ACGGCUCAGUAACACGUGGACAAUCUAACCUAUGGUGGGGGAUAACCCCGGGAAACUGGGGAUAAUACCCCAUAGACUAUGAAUGCUGGAAUGCUUUGUAGUUGAAAGGUCCGCCGCCAUAGGAUGGGUCUGCGGCCGAUUAGGUUGUUGUUGGGGUAACGGCCCAACAAGCCUGUAAUCGGUACGGGUUGUGGGAGCAAGAGCCCGGAGAUGGAUUCUGAGACACGAAUCCAGGCCCUACGGGGCGCAGCAGGCGCGAAAACUUUACAAUGCGGGAAACCGUGAUAAGGGAACUCCGAGUGCCCGUAAAAUCGGGCUGUCCACCAGUUUAAAUAACUGGUGAAGAAAGGGCCGGGCAAGACCGGUGCCAGCCGCCGCGGUAAUACCGGCGGCUCGAGUGGUGGCCACUAUUACUGGGCUUAAAGCGUUCGUAGCUGGUCUGUUAAGUCUCUGGGGAAAUCUACUGGCUUAACCAAUAGGCGUCUCAGGGAUACUGGCAGACUAGGGACCGGGAGAGGUGAGAGGUACUCCAGGGGUAGGAGUGAAAUCCUGUAAUCCUUGGGGGACCACCUGUGGCGAAGGCGUCUCACCAGAACGGCUCCGACAGUGAGGGACGAAAGCUGGGGGAGCAAACCGGAUUAGAUACCCGGGUAGUCCCAGCCGUAAACGAUGCGCGUUAGGUGUAUCGAUGACCACGAGUCAUCGAGGUGCCGAAGAGAAAUCGUGAAACGUGCCGCCUGGGAAGUACGGUCGCAAGGCUGAAACUUAAAGGAAUUGGCGGGGGAGCAC
Molecule: ribosomal RNA, 789 nt
Filed under: uncultured archaeon
Lineage: Archaea
Description: bacterial SSU rRNA
Rfam family: Archaeal small subunit ribosomal RNA
Source: RNAcentral